AGUCUUAUAUUCAUUUAAUGAUUUUAAAUUGCAAAUUUAAAGGAGGGUUAAGCCCUAAGGCUU
Molecule: transfer RNA, 63 nt
Filed under: Chrysomeloidea sp. 3 KM-2017
Lineage: Eukaryota; Metazoa; Arthropoda; Insecta; Coleoptera
Description: tRNA-Cys
Source: RNAcentral